RNAcentral lists this long non-coding RNA (284 nucleotides) under Capsicum annuum. Its description in RNAcentral is "long non-coding RNA (CANN_LNC020229)". Lineage: Eukaryota; Viridiplantae; Streptophyta; Magnoliopsida; Solanales; Solanaceae. The record is from RNAcentral.
AGUACAAAUUGGAUGAUGAACACAUGAAAUUUAUGACGAAUGAAGCUAUAUUUUAUUCUUAAUUUUGUCAUUACUUUGUUAUCUAAUUGGAUCAUUAGGAAUAUGGUUCGACCGACAAUAAUAAUAGACAAAUAUAAUUGGAUUAAGAAAUAUAGAAUUAUGUGUACAAUCACUUCUUUAGAAAAUAAGAGAAUAACUUAAAAAAUGAUUUUAGGUUUGAUCAAAAGAAAAUUUAAAGUUUAAUAUAUAAGUGAUAAUUAACGAUAAAGUUGGAAAGCUCUGCU